UACGUAGGGGGCAAGCGUUAUCCGGAUUUACUGGGUGUAAAGGGUGCGCAGACGGCGAUGCAGGCCAGGAGUGAAAGCCCGGGGCCCAACCCCGGGACUGCUCUUGGAACUGCGUGGCUGGAGUGCAGGAGGGGCAGGCGGAAUUCCUGGUGUAGCGGUGAAGUGCGUAGAUAUCAGGAGGAACACCGGUGGCGAAGGCGGCCUGCUGGACUGCAACUGACGUUGAGGCCCGAAAGCGUGGGGAGCAAACAGG
Molecule: ribosomal RNA, 253 nt
Filed under: uncultured bacterium
Lineage: Bacteria
Description: partial 16S ribosomal RNA
Rfam family: Bacterial small subunit ribosomal RNA
Source: RNAcentral